AGCAGAAGCUUGCUUCUCUUGAGAGCGGNGGACGGGUGAGUAAAGCCUAGGAAUCUGCCUGGUAGUGGGGGAUAACGUUCGGAAACGGACGCUAAUACCGCAUACGUCCUACGGGAGAAAGCAGGGGACCUUCGGGCCUUGCGCUAUCAGAUGAGCCUAGGUCGGAUUAGCUAGUUGGUGAGGUAACGGCUCACCAAGGCGACGAUCCGUAACUGGUCUGAGAGGAUGAUCAGUCACACUGGAACUGAGACACGGUCCAGACUCCUACGGGAGGCAGCAGUGGGGAAUAUUGGACAAUGGGCGAAAGCCUGAUCCAGCCAUGCCGCGUGUGUGAAG
Molecule: ribosomal RNA, 336 nt
Filed under: uncultured Pseudomonas sp.
Lineage: Bacteria; Pseudomonadati; Pseudomonadota; Gammaproteobacteria; Pseudomonadales; Pseudomonadaceae
Description: bacterial SSU rRNA
Rfam family: Bacterial small subunit ribosomal RNA
Source: RNAcentral